UGACAUCUGUAUACAGAACAUUCAGUCUGAAUGUUAUGUAUUGUGUGAUUGCGUUUUUUAUGCUAAUCUCUGUGUGACUGAUGAGAUGAUUGAACGCUGUCAUACCCCGAAAUUCACCAUACCCCAAUACAAUUUUCAUCUGAUCCAUGACCCUACUGCACAUGCAUACAUUCAUUAUUUAAAAAAAAAUUUAAAAAAAAUCAAAAAAAAAAAAGAAACUGGGUAACCAGUUACCCUAAUCAGGGUAACCGGUUACACAGACCAAAAACUGACUUUUUGGCCAUUUUGGGAUUGUGUAACCGAUUACCCUAAUUAGGGUAACCGAUUACACCUACGUAGACAGCAAAAAUGGCUCUCUUUUUUACCCAGGGGACCUUUUCU
Molecule: long non-coding RNA, 381 nt
Filed under: Lathyrus oleraceus (garden pea)
Lineage: Eukaryota; Viridiplantae; Streptophyta; Magnoliopsida; Fabales; Fabaceae
Description: Pisum sativum (pea) long non-coding RNA (PSAT_LNC036966)
Source: RNAcentral